This 294-nucleotide long non-coding RNA is filed under the name Nicotiana benthamiana. RNAcentral describes it as "long non-coding RNA (NBEN_LNC015980)". Lineage: Eukaryota; Viridiplantae; Streptophyta; Magnoliopsida; Solanales; Solanaceae. The record is from RNAcentral.
CCCUCUCCCCCUCCACCGGCGACCCCUCCACCUCCGGCGUCCCCCUCCCCCUCCGGCGACAGUUUCACACCAUUGGCACCACCGACGAGCCGCCGGUAGCUACAGGUAAGUACCCCCUCUCUCUCUUCUCGGAACCGUUAACAGUGGUCUCUCACGGUGGUCUUUCUUCGACACCUCCUAAACCACCGAGACAUACAUCGUCAGGCGCACAACCCCUGCGAGUUUCGUCGCCGGAAGCUGCCUCACGCGCCGCCGACGACCGCCCACGCGCCGCCACUGACACCCACGCGCCGC